UUCUGGUCUCAAAUCAGGUAGGAUCACCCGCUGAACUU
This 38-nucleotide ribosomal RNA is filed under the name Malassezia furfur. RNAcentral's name for it is "partial 26S ribosomal RNA". Lineage: Eukaryota; Fungi; Basidiomycota; Malasseziomycetes; Malasseziales; Malasseziaceae. The record is from RNAcentral.